GGUGUUACAUUAUUAUUACAAACUUAUACAUACAUAAAACAUACAAAUUUCCAAAGAAAUACAUAUUGUUUAGUAAUACUGCCCGUCAAAGUUACAUUUGGGCAUACAUUAUGUACAGAAUUUACAAGUGUAAUUAUUCAUCACAUUUGCUUAUACUAUCCCACUUAUUUAGCCUCUAAGUAAUAUAACUGAGUUAGAUUAUUUGGCCAACACAACCGAGUCAUCCUAAGACUUAUAAAAUUAAUUUUGAGACUUCUUUGAAAUAUUUCUAUUAGACUCG
RNAcentral lists this long non-coding RNA (280 nucleotides) under Gossypium barbadense (sea-island cotton). RNAcentral's name for it is "long non-coding RNA (GBAR_LNC013669)". Lineage: Eukaryota; Viridiplantae; Streptophyta; Magnoliopsida; Malvales; Malvaceae. The record is from RNAcentral.